This 507-nucleotide long non-coding RNA is filed under the name Piliocolobus tephrosceles (Ugandan red Colobus). RNAcentral's name for it is "lncRNA (ENSPTEG00000014630.1)". The record is from RNAcentral. Lineage: Eukaryota; Metazoa; Chordata; Mammalia; Primates; Cercopithecidae.
AUGUAUAAUAUGCAGAACCUGAUUACAGUUUCUACAACUCUCUGCAGGCACAAUGUCCUUAUUUGGGAGCCUCAAAAUAACAGGCUAACAUUGCUCAAAGCAGCUUUGGGAAGAGGGCAGGUGUCUGAGAGGCUGAGAGGCCAACUGAGCAACUUUUUAGCUGAAACCACGGGCCACACCAGGAACAAACCACUGGACCAAAUUGAUUCAAGACACCUGCUCCGGACCCAGUUUCUUCUCCUCACCCCUAACUCUGCCCAGCACCUCCCACUUCCUCUCUGUUCCCCAUCCCAUCCCAGAUUUGUAUUUAAAUGUCUGCAUAAUGCAUGUGCUCUGCAUGUUUUGAAGUACUUUCUAUCAAGUCCCUCAUUUUAAAAAUGUUUCUUUUAAAUGAAGCUAUGCAUAACCUCUUUUUGAGGCUCUCUUUGGCUUUUUUUGCACAAUUUUAAAUUGACCAGGCCUACUUGCAAAAAUAAAGACAUUUUUUCUGCUCUUUGUUCUAAGUCU